This 486-nucleotide ribosomal RNA is filed under the name uncultured bacterium. RNAcentral describes it as "partial 16S ribosomal RNA". It matches the Rfam family "Bacterial small subunit ribosomal RNA", at positions 30 to 507 of the family's 1533-position model. The record is from RNAcentral.
AUUGAACGCUGGCGGCAUGCCUUACACAUGCAAGUCGAACGGCAGCACGGGUGCUUGCCCCUGGUGGCGAGUGGCGAACGGGUGAGUAAUACAUCGGAACAUGUCCUGUAGUGGGGGAUAGCCCGGCGAAAGCCGGAUUAAUACCGCAUACGAUCUACGGAUGAAAGCGGGGUACCUUCGGGCCUCGCGCUAUGGGGUUGGCCGAUGGCUGAUUAGCUAGUUGGUGGGGUAAAGGCCUACCAAGGCGACGAUCAGUAGCUGGUCUGAGAGGACGACCAGCCACACUGGAACUGAGACACGGCCCAGACUCCUACGGGAGGCAGCAGUGGGGAAUUUUGGACAAUGGGCGAAAGCCUGAUCCAGCAAUGCCGCGUGUGUGAAGAAGGCCUUCGGAUUGUAAAGCACUUUUGUCCGGAAAGAAAUCCUUUGCCCUAAUACGGUCGGGGGAUGACGGUACCGGAAGAAUAAGCACCGGCUAACUACGUG